CCCUUAGAUGUUCUGGGCCGCACGCGCGCUACACUGAUGCAUUCAACGAGCCUAUCCUUGACCGACAGGUCCGGGUAAUCUUUGAAUCUGCAUCGUGACGGGGAUAGAUUAUUGCAAUUAUUAAUCUUCAACGAGGAAUGCCUAGUAGGCGCAAGUCAUCAGCUUGCGUCGAUUACGUCCCUGCCCUUUGUACACACCGCCCGUCGCACCUACCGAUUGAAUGGUCCGGUGAAAUCUUUGGACUGUGGCAUUGUGGAUCUUCGGAUUUACGUUGCUGUGGGAAGUUGAUUAAACCUUACCAUUUAGAGGAAGGUGAAGUCGUAACA
Molecule: ribosomal RNA, 326 nt
Filed under: uncultured eukaryote
Lineage: Eukaryota
Description: partial 18S ribosomal RNA
Rfam family: Eukaryotic small subunit ribosomal RNA
Source: RNAcentral